UAAGGAAUAUUGGUCAAUGGGCGGAAGCCUGAACCAGCCAUGCCGCGUGCAGGACGACUGCCCUAUGGGUUGUAAACUGCUUUUGUUCAGGAAUAAACCUAAAUACGUGUAUUUAGCUGAAUGUACUGGAAGAAUAAGGAUCGGCUAACUCCGUG
Molecule: ribosomal RNA, 155 nt
Filed under: uncultured Sphingobacterium sp.
Lineage: Bacteria; Pseudomonadati; Bacteroidota; Sphingobacteriia; Sphingobacteriales; Sphingobacteriaceae
Description: partial 16S ribosomal RNA
Rfam family: Bacterial small subunit ribosomal RNA
Source: RNAcentral